RNAcentral lists this ribosomal RNA (350 nucleotides) under Ralstonia sp. O-TRP9:4-2. Its description in RNAcentral is "bacterial SSU rRNA". It matches the Rfam family "Bacterial small subunit ribosomal RNA", at positions 53 to 398 of the family's 1533-position model. The record is from RNAcentral. Lineage: Bacteria; Pseudomonadati; Pseudomonadota; Betaproteobacteria; Burkholderiales; Burkholderiaceae.
ACAGGCAAGUCGAACGGCAGCAUGAUCUAUACUUGCUAGAUUGAUGGCGAGUGGCGAACGGGUGAGUAAUACAUCGGAACGUGCCCUGUAGUGGGGGAUAACUAGUCGAAAGAUUACCUAAUACCGCAUACGACCUGAGGGUGAAAGUGGGGGACCGCAAGGCCUCAUGCUAUAGGAGCGGCCGAUGUCUGAUUAGCUAGUUGGUGAGGUAAAGGCUCACCAAGGCGACGAUCAGUAGCUGGUCUGAGAGGACGAUCAUCCACACUGGGACUGAGACACGGCCCAAACUCCUACGGGAGGCAGCAGUGGGGAAUUUUGGACAAUGGGGGCAACCCUGAUCCAACAAUGCC